UGGGGAAUAUUGGGCAAUGGGGGAAACCCUGACCCAGCGACGCCGCGUGAGGGAAGACGGUUUUCGGAUUGUAAACCUCUGUCUUAGGGGAAGAGAACGGACGGUACCCUAGGAGGAAGCCACGGCUAACUACGUGCCAGCAGCCGCGGUAAUACGUAGGUGGCAAGCGUUGUCCGGAAUUACUGGGUGUAAAGGGAGCGUAGGCGGGGAGGAAAGUCAGGUGUGAAAUAUCAAAGCUCAACUUUGAGACUGCACUUGAAACUUCUUCUCUUGAGUGAAGUAGAGGCAAGCGGAAUUCCGUGUGUAGCGGUGAAAUGCGCAGAUAUACGGAGGAACACCAGUGGCGAAGGCGGCUUGCUGGGCUUUUACUGACGCUGAGGCUCGAAAGCGUGGGUAGCAAACA
This is a ribosomal RNA of 403 nucleotides. It matches the Rfam family "Bacterial small subunit ribosomal RNA", at positions 355 to 774 of the family's 1533-position model.